AAUUGUAAUGCAUUCUGCUGUCAUAUAUAAAUAAAAGAGAGAGAGAGAGAGAGACAGAGACAGAGACAGACAGAUAGACAGACACAGCGAACAAGCCUGGACCAAAUGUCCAAGUGAAUACUAUCUCAGAAGACCCUGAUUCUCUCAUGGUGUGUUACAAAGAGGGCAAACCAGUGUUAUCUGUAAGAACUGCUUUCUUGCACACGUCAGAAUAGCUGCUCAUUGAGAUGCUGAUCAUGCAAAGAACAAAGCAAACUGAUAAUAUGACUACUUCUUCGGCCUAACUUUUACACCCCAUCCCUGCAGUCACUGGCAUGGAUCUGAGCACUGUGGAAUGGAAAGAGCUUGAACCAGCUGCCGUCACUGAACAAAGCAUCAUGGGAGAAUGUAGGUGUGCUUUUCUGGUGAAGCACAGACUGGCUAUGUGAAAUGGAAGUGCAGCUGUGCAACCUGUCACCACUGGACUUUCUGGAGAAGCUUAUUACCACUGGAUCUUCCCUGAUGCGCCCUGGCAGUGCAGCCACAGGCUGCCCCCGCCAGGCCUGUCCCCAUCCAGUCCACCGAUUCACAGGCAGACCACUGCCCUGAGCCGAGUCCUCCAAGGUCUCUCCUGGGAUUUUGCAAAUUGGAACAGAGAAGCAGGACAACCUGUUGCCACAAAGCACUGACACAGGGUGUCAGAGUGGAUCUACCCAACUGCUGCCCCAGGCUUCCCAGGCCUAAAUGAUUUCAGGAAAAGAACUCAAAAUGAAGUUUGCAAUCAAAGAUGACUGGGAAGAAAUUUUAUCUUUUGGAAUCAAGGUCUUCUUGUGUUGUCCAGGAUGGUGAACUCACAGCGUUGUGGUGUAAAUUAAUCAAUAAAAUCAGUAACAGUGUAAGUUAUAGGUUAUAAAUUAGUAAAAAAAAAAUAUAUAUAUAUAUAUAGAGAGAGAGAGAGAGAUUAUAGAUAUGAUUUUGAUAAGUGAGGUAAGACAAUUAUAAAUCAAGAACUGACAUAGGAAGGCCUACGACUCCAUUUUACUGCCUUCUAUAAAACACUGUUACAAGAGCUGUUUUUGAGAAACUGAAAUGAAAACUGUUUUCUUAUUAUAUAUUGUUUUCUGUAUAUUGUACCCCACAAGUUGUACCCUACUCAGGAUGCAGCAGUGGUUGUGGUAAGCUGCAUCCUGGGUUGGAGUGCCCUCGUGGGUCUACAUGACUUUGAAAUAGACUCUUGCCCCUGCCAACCCCUGCUCAACUCAGGAUACGACUUGUCUAAUACCUGCUCGGACCCAAGAUGUGGCUAACCGAGUUGCAAAGCUGACCGCUUUUUUCCUAGCUUCUGUAAUUGGCUUCCUUGCAUGAUGCUAAGGAAAGCCCCCGAGUUGUGGUUCAUCUUUAGGUUCCCAGGACAUAGGCCAGGAAGCUACUGUUCUCCCACAGAGCUUCAAUCUCUACGGGCUCUUGUGAUCCUCCGGCCUCAACCUUCUGAGUAGCCAGGACCAUUUUGGUGUCGUACUGCACAGGGCUGUGUCAGGAUUUCCUCAAGAAAGGUCCUGUGGUUGGGAAGCAAGGCAGAGGAGCAUGAAGACCCUCGAGCACCCUGCAGCCAGCCACACUGGAAACAACCGCACACAUUAACAUGGGGUUUGGCAAACCAAUUCAGACAAAUUCAGACCACUGCUGAUUUGUGUAUUAUAUGAAUUUUUUAUAUUUUGGUUAAAAAAACAAAAAUAGUAAUUCAUAUCACAUGAAAAUUAUAUGAAAUUAGAAAGGAGAAUUACUGAGGAAUGAAAAUGAUCAAAUUAGGGGCUGGGGUUCUAUCUUAGUGGUAGAGCGCUUGCCUAGCAUGCAUGAGGCAUUGAGUUCGAUCCCCAGCACCACAUAAAAAUAAAGAAAAUAAAUUCAU
Molecule: long non-coding RNA, 1888 nt
Organism: Ictidomys tridecemlineatus (thirteen-lined ground squirrel)
Lineage: Eukaryota; Metazoa; Chordata; Mammalia; Rodentia; Sciuridae
Source: RefSeq, a predicted model, not a curated record